This is a small nucleolar RNA of Gambusia affinis (western mosquitofish), 66 nucleotides long. Its record names the gene SNORD58. It matches the Rfam family "Small nucleolar RNA SNORD58". From Rfam's summary of the family: snoRNA U58 is found in introns 1, 3 and 6 of the ribosomal protein RPL17 gene in humans. The record is from Ensembl. NCBI's taxonomy places the organism in Eukaryota, Metazoa, Chordata, Actinopteri, Cyprinodontiformes, Poeciliidae.
UGGCUGUGAUGACUCUUAGGACACCUUUGGAUUAAUCGUGAAAAGAACUUAUUAAACCUGAGCUAC